This 493-nucleotide ribosomal RNA is filed under the name uncultured bacterium. Its description in RNAcentral is "partial 16S ribosomal RNA". It matches the Rfam family "Bacterial small subunit ribosomal RNA", at positions 28 to 507 of the family's 1533-position model. The record is from RNAcentral.
GAUGAACGCUAGCUACAGGCUUAACACAUGCAAGUCGAGGGGAAACGGCAUCGAAAGCUUGCUUUUGAUGGGCGUCGACCGGCGCACGGGUGAGUAACGCGUAUCCAACCUGCCCAUCACUUGGGAAUAACCUUGCGAAAGUAAGACUAAUGCCCAAUGACAUCCCACGAAGGCAUCCGAAUGGGAUUAAAGAUUUAUCGGUGAUGGAUGGGGAUGCGUCUGAUUAGCUUGUUGGCGGGGUGACGGCCCACCAAGGCAACGAUCAGUAGGGGUUCUGAGAGGAAGGUCCCCCCACAUUGGAACUGAGACACGGUCCAAACUCCUACGGGAGGCAGCAGUGAGGAAUAUUGGUCAAUGGGCGAGAGCCUGAACCAGCCAAGUAGCGUGCAGGAUGACGGCCCUAUGGGUUGUAAACUGCUUUUAUAAGGGAAUAAAGUGGGUCACGUGUGACUUUUUGCAUGUACCUUAUGAAUAAGGACCGGCUAAUUCCGUG